This 425-nucleotide ribosomal RNA is filed under the name uncultured bacterium. RNAcentral describes it as "bacterial SSU rRNA". It matches the Rfam family "Bacterial small subunit ribosomal RNA", at positions 355 to 773 of the family's 1533-position model. The record is from RNAcentral.
UGGGGAAUCUUGCGCAAUGGGCGAAAGCCUGACGCAGCGACGCCGCGUGAGUGAUGAAGGCCUUCGGGUUGUAAAGCUCUGUGGGGAGAGACGAAUAAGUGCAGCCUAAUACGUUGCAUGAUGACGGUAUCUCCUUAGCAAGCACCGGCUAACUCUGUGCCAGCAGCCGCGGUAAGACAGAGGGUGCAAACGUUGUUCGGAAUUACUGGGCGUAAAGCGUGUGUAGGCGGUCUGCUAAGUCGGGUGUGAAAGCCCCGGGCUCAACCCGGGAAGUGCACUCGAAACUGGCAGGCUAGAGUACUGGAGAGGUUGGUGGAAUUCUCGGUGUAGAGGUGAAAUUCGUAGAUAUCGAGAGGAACACCGGUGGCGAAGGCGGCCAACUGGACAGAUACUGACGCUGAGACACGAAAGCGUGGGGAGCAAAC